GGCUUUGUUUUGAUGGACAAUACAUCUACCUGGAUAUUCUUGUCCCCCAAGACCUGAACUACCCAGAGGAAAGAGCUGGAGAACAGAGGCAUUCAUUCUACCUGCUGCCGCUCACUAACCCCAGGCUCAGAGGAAUCCGCUGGACAUCCGUGGCUACUGUCUGCACUGCACCAAAUCCGAACGCUCCAAGCCAUGGAUUCCCAAAACUGCAGCUGCCCUACGGGAGGCCCUUGCACCUGUUCUGGCAAUUGCAAAUGCAAAGAGUGUAAAUGCAGUUCCUGCCAGAAAGGAGGCUGCUGUACUUCCUGCCCUCCUGAGUGCCCCAAGUGUUCCAAGGAGUGUGCCGGCAAAGGGAAUGACAAGGGUGGCUGCUGCCAUUGAGGGUGCUGCAGGCUUCUUGAAAAUAUAACCAUCCUUUCUUAAAGGCAUGAGCUGUGUGCAUCGUCUACCAUAAAAAUGUGCUCAUGUGUUUUCAAAUGAAAAUAAACUCAGUGAACAAUGUAAA
Antechinus flavipes (yellow-footed antechinus) is the source of this 505-nucleotide long non-coding RNA. RefSeq lists it as uncharacterized. The record is from RefSeq and is a predicted model, not a curated record. The transcript has 5 exons. NCBI's taxonomy places the organism in Eukaryota, Metazoa, Chordata, Mammalia, Dasyuromorphia, Dasyuridae.